Molecule: ribosomal RNA, 1341 nt
Filed under: Clostridium perfringens
Lineage: Bacteria; Bacillati; Bacillota; Clostridia; Eubacteriales; Clostridiaceae
Description: partial 23S ribosomal RNA
Rfam family: Bacterial large subunit ribosomal RNA
Source: RNAcentral
CGAUUUUCUUAGUAGCGGCGAGCGAAAGGGAAAGAGCCCAAACCGGAAACUUGUUUCCGGGGUUGUGGACAUAACAUAAAAGUGGAGGCUAUUGUAACUGAAGAGAACUGGAAAGUUCCACCGUAGAAGGUAAUAGUCCUGUAAGUGAAACGAGAAGACCACGAGUUAUGAUCCAGAGUACCACGAGACACGUGAAACCUUGUGGGAAGCAGGGAGGACCACCUCCCAAGGCUAAAUACUACCUGAUGACCGAUAGUGAAGCAGUACCGUGAGGGAAAGGUGAAAAGAACCCCGGGAGGGGAGUGAAAUAGAACCUGAAACCGUGUGCCUACAACCGCUCAGAGCCCCUUAUGAGGGUGAUGAGGUGCUUUUUGUAGAACGAGCCAACGAGUUACGGUAUGUAGCAAGGUUAAGUACUUAAGGUACGGAGCCGAAGGGAAACCGAGUCUGAAUAGGGCGACUAGUUGCAUGCCGUAGACCCGAAACCGGGUGACCUAUCCAUGGCCAGGUUGAAGCGAGGGUAAAACCUCGUGGAGGACCGAACCACGUUGCUGUUGAAAAAGCAUGGGAUGAGCUGUGGAUAGCGGAGAAAUUCCAAUCGAACCCGGAGAUAGCUGGUUCUCUCCGAAAUAGCUUUAGGGCUAGCGUCGAGUAUGAGUAGUGGAGGUAGAGCACUGAAUGGGCUAGGGGGCAUAGCGCUUACCGAACCUUAUCAAACUCCGAAUGCCACAUACUUUGAGCUCGGCAGUCAGACUACGAAUGAUAAGAUCCGUGGUCAAAAGGGAAACAGCCCAGAUCGUCAGCUAAGGUCCCAAAGUGUAAGUUAAGUGGGAAAGGAUGUGAGAUUUCUAAGACAACUAGGAUGUUGGCUUAGAAGCAGCCAUUCAUUAAAAGAGUGCGUAAUAGCUCACUAGUCGAGAGAUCUUGCGCCGAAAAUGUAACGGGGCUAAACUUACCACCGAAGCUACGGGCUUGAACUUAGUUCAAGCGGUAGGAGAGCGUCGUAACCGGGCUGAAGUCGUACCGUAAGGAGCGGUGGACUGGUUACGAGUGAGAAUGUUGGCAUCAGUAGCGAGAUGUGGGUGAGAAUCCCACAGGCCGAAAACCUAAGGUUUCCUCAGGAAGGUUCGUCCGCUGAGGGUUAGUCGGGACCUAAGCCGAGGCCGAAAGGCGUAGGUGAUGGACAACUGGUUGAUAUUCCAGUACCACUACCAUCGUUAUUAUCGAUGGCGUGACGCAGGAGGAUAGUGUGUGCUAGCUAUUGGAUGCUAGUCUAAGCGUUUAGGCAGUGAGAGUAGGCAAAUCCGCUCUCAUAAUGCUGAGGCGUGAUGGGGAAGGUUC